This is a long non-coding RNA of Medicago truncatula (barrel medic), 557 nucleotides long. RefSeq lists it as uncharacterized. The record is from RefSeq and is a predicted model, not a curated record. The transcript has 2 exons. Lineage: Eukaryota; Viridiplantae; Streptophyta; Magnoliopsida; Fabales; Fabaceae.
UACCUAGAAAAUCAAAAAAAUUAAAACUUCAAAUUCUUUUUUUCAAAAACUCAAUCUUCUUCAUCUCUUAUUCAAUUAAAAAUCCAUAAAUUCCCAAAUGAUUUUUUUUUUCUUAUUUAAACUAAUUUCAUCAUCCAGAACCUUCUUUUCUUCAUCGGCAUCAUAAGUAUCACAUUUUCAAUCCAUUGAGUAUUGUUUUUGUUUUGUCUCUAUCAAAUUCGGUUCAAUUCAAUGGCAGGUUCAUCUCAAACCACUGUCCUUGUUACCGGUGUUGGUGGUCGCACAGAUUCAAGAAGUUGAGGACUGAUAUGUGUAAUCUGUCCCAAAUUGAAUGUUUAAUUUAUGUACAAUAAAAUUAAAAUGAAUCGAAUAAUUAUAUGGCACUUGGAUCAGAAGGUUAAGAUUUUGAGGUUGGAAAGGGAAGAUAUUGAAGAAGGAAUAAAGCAGAGAAGCUGCAGGAUAAAGAUUGUUGUAGUUUUUAAUUUUUAUUUUUAGGAAAUUAAAAAAAUAUGGAAAGACAAUAAGAAAUUAUCAUAUGUUUGUGUCUUUAUUGUAUA